GGGCUAUAGCUCAGUGGUAGAGCACCUGCUUUUCAGGGACAAGGUCCCAAGUUCAAUUCCUGGCAUCUUCA
This is a non-coding RNA of Podarcis lilfordi (Lilford's wall lizard), 71 nucleotides long. The record is from the annotation of a GenBank genome assembly. NCBI's taxonomy places the organism in Eukaryota, Metazoa, Chordata, Lepidosauria, Squamata, Lacertidae.